UACGACUUUAUAUGGCGCAUUUCCUCGAUCUACUAUAACCAGUAAGUCACCCUAGCAUUUCGUCCCUUCCGACUUGAAUACUAUGCGAUAUUUAUCGGUUUUCCUUUUUUACUGUCCGGUACUUCGUUUGUAACUCUGCAUUUUAAUCCGUUUUAUUUCGUAUUCAUAUCUCGUUUGGAAGCGACCGUCCGACUAUACUCAGGCCGAUAACUUUUAACGCAUAAUAUAGUACCUAUACUGCGAGUUAUUAGUUCUUUUUUCCGAAAUCCGAUCGCAAUGGUUGUUGUUAACCAUCACAGAGAUGUCGAAAGAAAUUUUUUUUUUGAAAAGAAUGUCGUUGACCCGUCGUCGACGUGCGUAUAUUAUACGUGUGUACACAUUGUGUGCAUGUGUGUACGAGAGAGAGAAAGAGAGAGAGAGGAAUACAUGUGUACGUGCGCAAACGAACAGCGCGGGGUUUUUUUUUUUUUUUUAAUAUUUUCGUCAUCCGACGGCGACAAGUGCUCGCGAACUUCGCGGGCGCACACGCGAUGCAAGUAUACGUUAUAUACGUGUAUUAUAAUAACACUAAUAAUAAUAAUAUAAACGUGUUUAUUACAGUCCGUAUAGGUAUAUAUAUACACGGUAAGAGAGCAGGUCCGGUGCAGUUUUCGCCCGAGGGCCACAGACAUAUAGAUACCGCGUUUUAUAUCCAUAGAUAUUAUAUAUAAGGUAUACACCACAUUUUAUAUAUUAUCACGGGUAUGUGUGUGUGUGUGUGUGAUGUGACGUGAUGUGAUGUGCGUGUGGUAUCCGUAAGGUCGCGUAUAGAUCAAGCGUUUUGGUCGCAACGUCAAAAAAAAAACCGCAGCCGCGCAUUCGACGGUGUCCGGUACGCGUGUUUACAAACCUUACCGGAGUUGGAUCCCAGCCGAAACGUACAACCGACGAGUUGAUUACUCAGAGUAGUAUUACAAUAUAUAGAAACAACACGAAAUAUAACCUCGCGGCUUGUCGACGCAAACUCGAUUUUUCCUUCCUCUCCCCUCUCCCCGUGAAAAUUGUUGUAAACCUAUGAAACCGUUGCGGGUUCGGAUAAAGCAGACUAGGAGAAACGGAGAAACUUAACCUAGCCGUUUCGGUCCGAAAACCCGAUAGUGUUCCGAGGAAGUCGAUGUCUUACGUACAGACGUUAUUUAACAAACUGGCGAUAAAAAGUGAAGUUUCAAUUAAUGGGCCUUAUCGUCCGCUUACGUAUUGUGAUAACUGCUGUACAUUCGUAUCAGUGUGAUAUUGUGAACGAUCGCGGUCUUGGUCACCGUGAUUUCUAUACCAAAAGCAUUACUGUGAUACGCCAAUUAUUAGCGAUAUAUAUUAUUCUGUACAGUGCGAUCCGCGAUGAUAAACCUCAUGCCCAAUGUCAACCUAACCGAUAAAGUCGACAUCUCCGGCACGCAGUGGCGCAGCCGUUGAGGGGUUUAAUUAUAUUGUUUAGAUCGCUUAGCAGUAUUUUAUCGUUCUUUAAAACUGCAGAAGUACCGGAUUCAACGACCAUGAGGUAUUUUUUUUUUCUCGGAAAACGCUUUUUUCGUCAGUUGAAAUGCUCCAUGCUCCAAAUUCUUCGCCUUGAAACAUAUGGAUUUUCACCCGGUUGUACUUUAGUUUGAGACGUUUAUCUAGACUCCGACGGAUUUCUAAACAAAAAUUGUGAAAAAAAAAACCCCCCAAACAAUACCGAUAAUACGUCGGAUUUAUUCUUGUCGAUUUAUCCGCAACGGAUACGGCGUUCUUGCGACGACGCUUAUAAAUAAAUACGUGUCGUUAUUCGGAAUAAUUCGCCCCGCGGAACGGGCGAAAAUGACGAAAAUCUAGAAGCGACAAAAUUUUUGAAAACUGUUAUAAUUUCGCCUACGAAAUUACGCCGUUCCAGUUUUCGUCUUCGAAAUGUUAACUUUACCGAAUUUUUUUCCGGUUAGUUUAGG
RNAcentral lists this long non-coding RNA (1961 nucleotides) under Cinara cedri. Lineage: Eukaryota; Metazoa; Arthropoda; Insecta; Hemiptera; Aphididae. The record is from RNAcentral.